AAUAAUGAAAUUACUUAAAUUUUAGUUAAUUAAGUUUGUAAGAAAAUCAUUUUUGAAUUUUAGAGUUUUUAUGGGUUACAGAAUGAAUAGCAUGGGUGAUAGUAAAGAGUACUGUGAAGGAAGUUUGAAAUAAUUGAAAUUUGUUUAAGAAAAAGUAGGUUUAUUAGCCGUACCUUUUGUAUCAGGGUUUAUCUAUUAUUACAGUAUUAAUUCUUUUUCUCGAUAUGAGGUGAGCUAAUAGGGUAAAUUGUUAUUGUGGCAUAAAUAUUUAUCAUAUCCUUUUAGUUAUGAAACAUUAUUCGGACUUCAAGGUAUCUAGUUUUUCAAGAAGUGAAUUUAAUUCAGAGAGGAUUUUAUGUUAAUUAAUUAUUUAAUAAUUUGUUUUCUCUUAAUGGUUUGGGAGAUAAGUUCUAGAUCAUAGCUACAUUUAAAUGUAUUUUAUAGGUGAGGUAGAUUUAAGAUUAGUCAUCCAUUAGAGUAUGUUAUAAUACUCCCUUUAUAAAUAUAAUUUUAAUUAAAUUAGGGGCUUUAUUGAAAAGUGAUUUUUAACUUUAGCAAAUUAGUGAUAAUGAUUAAAUAAUUAUAAAUAAUAAGUUUAUUUCUUUUAUUUAGAAAGAUUGAUGUAAGGAAUUCGGCAAAUUAAUGCUCGCCUGUUUAUCAAAAACAUGGCCUUUGGGAUGAAUAAAAGGUCUGACCUGCCCACUGAGAUUUAAAGGGCCGCGGUAUUUUGACCGUGCAAAGGUAGCAUAAUCACUAGUCUUUUAAUUAAAGGCUGGAAUGAAUGGUUGGACGAGGUAUUAACUGUCUUAUUUUAAUCGUAAUUAGAAUUUAACCUUUUAGUGAAAAGGCUGAGAUGAAAUUAGAGGACGAGAAGACCCUAUAGAGCUUUAUAGUUUUAGAUUAUUUUUCUUGAGGGGUAUAAAUUUUAAUUUUAAUACUAUUUUGUUGGGGUGACAAAAAGAUAAAAUAAACUCUUUUUUAUUAAAAUCACGUAUAAGUGAAUUUAUGAUCCAGAAUUUUUGAUUAUAAGACUAAGUUACCUUAGGGAUAACAGCGUAAUCCUUUUUGAGAGUUCUUAUCGAUAAAGGGGGUUGCGACCUCGAUGUUGGAUUAAGGGUAAUCUCGGGUGAAGCCGUUUGAGAUUUGGGUCUGUUCGACCUUUGAAUCCUUACAUGAUCUGAGUUCAGACCGGCGUGAGCCAGGUCGGUUUCUAUCCUUAAUAAAUUUUAUGUUUUAGUACGAAAGGACCAGGCAUUUGAGAUAUUCUUCAAAUAUUGAAACUUAUU
This 1286-nucleotide ribosomal RNA is filed under the name Siphluriscus chinensis. Its description in RNAcentral is "large subunit ribosomal RNA". The stretch from base 602 to 1286 matches the Rfam family "Archaeal large subunit ribosomal RNA", at positions 1423 to 2802 of the family's 2987-position model. The record is from RNAcentral. Lineage: Eukaryota; Metazoa; Arthropoda; Insecta; Ephemeroptera; Siphlonuridae.